UCAGAUUGAACGCUGGCGGCAGGCCUAACACAUGCAAGUCGAGCGGAAACGGCAGUAUUGAAGCUUCGGUGGAUUUACUGGACGUCGAGCGGCGGACGGGUGAGUAACGGCUGGGAACCUGCCCUGACGAGGGGGAUAACCGUUGGAAACGACGGCUAAUACCGCAUAAUGUCUUAGUUCAUUGAGCUGGGACCAAAGGUGGCCUCUACAUGUAAGCUAUCGCGUUGGGAUGGGCCCAGUUAGGAUUAGCUAGUUGGUAAGGUAAUGGCUUACCAAGGCAACGAUCCUUAGCUGGUUUGAGAGGAUGAUCAGCCACACUGGGACUGAGACACGGCCCAGACUCCUACGGGAGGCAGCAGUGGGGAAUAUUGCACAAUGGGGGAGACCCUGAUGCAGCCAUGCCGCGUGUGUGAAGAAGGCCUUCGGGUUGUAAAGCACUUUCAGC
This 445-nucleotide ribosomal RNA is filed under the name uncultured bacterium. Its description in RNAcentral is "bacterial SSU rRNA". It matches the Rfam family "Bacterial small subunit ribosomal RNA", at positions 24 to 440 of the family's 1533-position model. The record is from RNAcentral.